Oncorhynchus tshawytscha (Chinook salmon) is the source of this 1259-nucleotide long non-coding RNA. The record is from Ensembl. NCBI's taxonomy places the organism in Eukaryota, Metazoa, Chordata, Actinopteri, Salmoniformes, Salmonidae.
GGCUCUCUUCCGCUGACUGCUGGGUCACCUUGUCCAUUAGCCGGGUCAGGGAGAGGUAAUGUUGUUGUUGAAACAUACCUGUCCGCCUGACCCCAGCCGAAAUGUAAACACUGGCUUUGUGAUUCACACACCUGACAUUCCACAGCGCUCAGCCUGGCUCCGACACACGGCUCCGACACACGGCGAUAAGCUCCGAGGCGUUAGUGUGUGUGUGUGUGUGUGUGUGUGUGUGUGUGUGUGUGUGUGUGGUAGAUGGCGACUGUGUGGAGCAGUACCAUCAACUGUAUUCCUCGUGUCCCCGCUCUGUGUUUGUCGUAAACAAAAAGAGGGCAGUUGGAUGCUGCCAAAAUCCCACUCAUCAUUCAGGUCAGUCAGGUAACAUUACUUCCAUUGUUCUGACUCAAUGUGUCCUUCAGUAUUUGUGGAGAAACAUUUUCAGACACUGCAAGAUACAGUUUGUGCCUGUUGUCAAUUCUGCAAACAGUUGACCUGCAACUGAAUAUGUAACUAGUGCCUCCAUGUGUGUAGUUAUAACAUUGAUCACAUCCAAACAGGUGCUCAUGUACAUAGUUUAUUUCUCUUAAAACUGCAUUGUUGGCUAAGGGCUUGUAAGCAAGCAUUUCACGGUAGCAUUUCACCUGUUGUAUUCGGCGCAGGUGACACAUUCAUUUUGAUUUGAUUGGAUUCCACAACCCUACAUGUCAGCACUCGUCGUGUUUUGUGUUGUUUUUGUGGACGCCAGGAACAGUAUCUGCUGUUUAUGCAAAAGCUAAUGGGUUUACAAAUACUCAAAUAGACAGGACUGUGAUGUUGAUGUGGGGUGACCAGGAUGGACUCCAACAAAUCACAGAAGAAGAACGUGAGAGAGAGAAACAAAGAAGGAGAGAGGAGAAGAAAGAAGGAGAGAGGAGAAGAAAGAAGGAGAGAGGAGAAGAAAGAAGGAGAGAGAGAAACAAAGGAGAGAGGCGAAGAAAGAAGGAGAGAGGAGAAGAAAGAAGGAGAGAGGAGAAGAAAGAAGGAGAGAGGAGAAGAAAGAAGGAGAGAGGAGAAGAAAGAAGGAGAGAGAGAAACAAAGGAGAGAGGAGAAGAAAGAAGGAGAGAGAAAGAAGAAAGAAGGAGAGAGGAGAAGAAAGAAGGAGAGAGGAGAAGAAAGAAGGAGAGAGGAGAAGAAAGAAGGAGAGAGAGAAACAAAGGAGAGAGGAGAAGAAAGAAGGAGAGAGGAGAAGAAAGAAGAAGAGAGAGAGAAACAAAGGAGAGAG